RNAcentral lists this ribosomal RNA (200 nucleotides) under uncultured bacterium. RNAcentral describes it as "partial 16S ribosomal RNA". The record is from RNAcentral.
GACGAACGCUGGCGGCGUGCUUAACACAUGCAAGUCGAGCGGUAAGGCCCUUUCGGGGUACGACGAGCGGCGAACGGGUAGGAGUAACAACGUGGGUGGACCUCGCCCUCCAGCUCUGGGAGUAAGCCUCGGGAAACCGGGGUACCGUAAUAACCGGAGUAUGACUCCACUGACGCAUGUUGUGGGGUGGGAAAGACCUU